GGAUGAUGAUUUGCUGAUAAUGUCGGAUGUUGAUGAGAUACCUAGUAGACAUACCAUCAAUCUGUUGAGGUGGUGUGAUGACACUCCUCCAGUUCUUCAUCUCCGAUUGAAGAACUAUCUCUACUCUUUUGAGUUCCUUGUGGACAGCAAUAGCUGGAGAGCUUCUGUUCAUCGGUACCAAUCUGGUAAGACAAGGUAUGCACAUUAUCGACAGUCAGACGUGAUCUUAGCAGAUGCAGGAUGGCAUUGUAGCUUUUGUUUCCACCACAUAAGCGAGUUCAUAUUCAAGAUGAAAGCGUACAGUCAUUUUGACAGGGUAAGAUUUUCUCAUUUUCUUAAUCCAAAGAGAGUGCAAAAGGUAAUCUGUGAAGGAGCUGACUUAUUUGAUAUGCUACCGGAGGAGUACACAUUCA
Molecule: unclassified non-coding RNA, 413 nt
Filed under: Hevea brasiliensis (rubber tree)
Lineage: Eukaryota; Viridiplantae; Streptophyta; Magnoliopsida; Malpighiales; Euphorbiaceae
Source: RNAcentral